This 475-nucleotide long non-coding RNA is filed under the name Anser brachyrhynchus (Pink-footed goose). RNAcentral's name for it is "lncRNA (ENSABRG00000002780.1)". Lineage: Eukaryota; Metazoa; Chordata; Aves; Anseriformes; Anatidae. The record is from RNAcentral.
AAUACAGCAGGGCACCAUAGUCUGAAGGAGGAGGUGUCGUGCGGGAGCAGAGAGGACUGAAAGAAUCUGGUUUGCAGCAGAAUGUCUCUUCAAGCCAGUGGACAAGUUGAGGAGGAAAUAAACCAGAAAAGGAGGAGAGAGGGAUUCUGAAGAUUUGAUUUCUUCAGAUACAUACAUUUCUGCAUCACUAAAGACAAGGCAGUGUGAUUUUGGAUCCCCUGAUUAUUUCAUCCAAGUUGAAUCUCUAAGUGACAAGGAUUCCUCUCUGGAGCUGUCUGCUUCUUGCCAUGCACUGAGUACCUGAAGUGCUGUUACAUCUUGUUUCCACAAGUCACAACUUGCUGCAAGGGGAGAGCUCAGCUCGAGCCCAGGGUCAAUUCUGCAGCCACCGGUAAUGCUAAGAAAAGGCUGGUGGGAGAUUAGGCAGAAAUGCACAUUCAAUAAAGUCAAAAGGAUUUUGUCUCCCUAAAGGUUU